This 423-nucleotide ribosomal RNA is filed under the name Verrucomicrobiota bacterium. RNAcentral describes it as "Verrucomicrobia bacterium partial 16S ribosomal RNA". It matches the Rfam family "Bacterial small subunit ribosomal RNA", at positions 355 to 776 of the family's 1533-position model. Lineage: Bacteria; Pseudomonadati; Verrucomicrobiota. The record is from RNAcentral.
UGAGGAAUAUUGGUCAAUGGGCGAGAGCCUGAACCAGCCAAGUAGCGUGCAGGAUGACGGCCCUAUGGGUUGUAAACUGCUUUUAUAUGGGAAUAAAGUGAGGGACGUGUCCCUUAUUGCAUGUACCAUACGAAUAAGGACCGGCUAAUUCCGUGCCAGCAGCCGCGGUAAUACGGAAGGUCCAGGCGUUAUCCGGAUUUAUUGGGCGUAAAGCGCGCGUAGGCGGUUUGUUAGGUCAGGAGUUAAAUCUGGGGGCUCAACCCCUAUCCGCUCCUGAUACCGGCAGGCUUGAGUCUGGUAGGGGAAGGCGGAAUUCCAAGUGUAGCGGUGAAAUGCGCAGAUAUUUGGAAGAACACCGGUGGCGAAGGCGGCCUUCUGGGCCACGACUGACGCUGAGGCGCGAAAGCUAGGGGAGCGAACAGG